GAAUAUUGGACAAUGGGCGAAAGCCUGAUCCAGCCAUGCCGCGUGUGUGAAGAAGGUCUUCGGAUUGUAAAGCACUUUCAGUUGGGAGGAAGUGCAGUAAGCGAAUAACUUGCUGUUUUCACGUUACCGACAGCAUAAGCACCUGCUAACUCUGUGCCAGUCGCCGGGGUAACACAGAGGGUGCAAGCGUUAACCGGAAUUACUGGGCGUAAAGCGCGCGUAGGUGGUUCGUUAAGUGGGAUGUGAAAUCCCCGGGCUCAACCUGGGAAGUGCAUCCAAAACUGGCGAGCUAGAGUAGGGCAGAGGGUGGUGGAAUUUCCUGUGUAGCGGUGAAAUGCGUAGAUAUAGGAAGGAACACCAGUGGCGAAGGCGACCACCUGGGCUCAUACUGACACUGAGGUGCGAAAGCGUGGGGAGCAAACA
Molecule: ribosomal RNA, 423 nt
Filed under: uncultured bacterium
Lineage: Bacteria
Description: partial 16S ribosomal RNA
Rfam family: Bacterial small subunit ribosomal RNA
Source: RNAcentral